Molecule: long non-coding RNA, 1899 nt
Filed under: Equus caballus (horse)
Lineage: Eukaryota; Metazoa; Chordata; Mammalia; Perissodactyla; Equidae
Description: lncRNA (ENSECAG00000051901.1)
Source: RNAcentral
CUUUUGUACUUUAGGAUGAGGUCUCACUUUCAAGGAACGUAUUUUUAUUGGCACUUUCUGAGGUUUUCCCCAACUGGCCCUUUCCUCUCACUGCUUCUUUCUUCCUCAGAAGGUUUCUUCUGAUUUCAGCUGCUUGUAGUAGCCCUUGCGUGAAUUUUGUUAUCUGAGGAUUAAAUCUGUACAUACAUUUUCUAUUGCUGUGUAACAAAUUGCCAUAAAUUUAGUGGCUUAAAACAGCAUGUAUUUGUUAUCUCAGUUCCAUGGGGCAGGGAUGUGAGCACAGCUUAGGUAGGUCCUCUGCUCAGAGUCUCACAAGGUUGCAAUCAAGGUGCUACCUGGGCUGCAUUCUCAUCCGGAGGUUUGACAGGGAAGAAUCACUUUCAAUUCUUCCAGGUUGCUGGUAGAAUUCAUUUCCUUGCAGCUUUAGAACUGAGGGCCUGUGUUUUUUGCUGACUAUUGUCUUCUUUAUAGGUUGUCCUCAGGUCCUUCAGAUGGAAUGAGUUCCAGGAGGCCACCCCAGUUCCUCACUGCAUGGGCUUCUUCAACACAGCUGCUUACUUCUCUCUCCCUCCAGUCAGCUAAGUCACCAUCUUAUGUAAUGUGACCUAAUCGUGGCAGUGACAUCCCAUCACUUUUGCCAUAUUCUCUUGGUUAGAAGCAAAUCACGAGUCCAACCUACAUUCAAAGAGAGGAGUGACACAAAGGCACGGAUAUCACCAAAUCAUUGGGAGUCACCUUGGAUCCAUCACCACAGUCUGUCUCCUGGUUUCACUGAAAAUGGAGCUUCAGAGUUUAGUGUCUAUUCUGCUUUGUUUUUAAUGUUUCUUAUUUCUCUCCAGGAGGAAAGGUAAAAAAAAUACUGACUUGGACCUCUAUGUUCAUACUGGAGGUCCAUUGAUAGAAAUUUUAAAGAUUUAUUGAGGGAUGCUAUUUAUUUCAGCCAUAUUAUGCUUUUUGAUAUGCAACAUCUUAACAUCUGUACAGUAAACACAUAACAUUUCCUGCUGUACCUACUCAUCUAAAUGAAACUUAAGAUUAUAAUUUGAGUCUGUAAUGUUUAGCGUGGUUGAGAAGAGAAAAGGUAGAAAGAAAACUAAUGUUAUUAUGUGUUAGAUGAUUUAAAAUUUUAUUCUGAUAUGUUGUAUUUAUUUUAUAAAUUAAGAAACUGAAGGUCAGAGAUUAAGAGAUUGGCACAGAGCCAUAGAGAGAGUUAUGAGGGAGCAUGGGGUUGGAGGAGCUCAAAUUGGUACCUUGAUCUAUCUCCCUAGGAAGUUUAUUCUAUUUCUACUGUAAUGUAUUUUGUCCCUAAGUGGUUCCAAUGCUGAAAGUUGUGUAGAAAACUCAAAUAAUGCAGUGAACAUUUCAUUAUGUGAAAUUACCCCCAAAUGGGGUAUUCUACUCCUUGUCAAAAUUGAAAAGAAUGUGCAUUCUGAGGUUGCUACAGAUAGUGUUUUAUAUGUGUCAUUUAUGUCAAUUUGGCUAAGGUAGUUGUUCAAAUAUUAUAUUUUCUUACCACAUAUUUCCUCUGCUCAUUCUAUCACACAUCUGUACUGAGACAGGUGUGUUAAAAUCUCUCACUAUAAUUAUGGAUUUGCCUGUCUUUUUUCAUAUUUUGACAAUUUCAUACAAAUUUGGAAUGUUCAUAUCUUCCUGUUCAAUUGAUAACUUUAUCAUUAUAAAGUGUUUUUCUUUAUCUCACAUAAUAUUUUUUGCCUCAAAUUCCAGUUGUUUAAUAGUAGUAUAGCUGCACCAGCUUUCUUUUGCUGAGUGUUUUUAUGGUCUGUGUCUUUUCCUUCCCUUUAUUUUCAUCACAUCUAUGUCUUUAUUUAAAGUGUGUUUCUUGCAUACAGCAUGUAGUUUGAUCGUGUCUUAUAAUAAAGGAAAAUUCUUAUCUUUUAA